Non-coding RNA from Oryzias latipes (Japanese medaka), 1311 nucleotides. Lineage: Eukaryota; Metazoa; Chordata; Actinopteri; Beloniformes; Adrianichthyidae. The record is from RefSeq and is a predicted model, not a curated record.
UUUCUGUUAUUUUUCUUUUUUUUAUUCUUUACAAAAAAAAGGCCUGAAUUUCCACUUUAAGAACCCAGAAUAUUUUUGCUCAAUCCAAUAAAAACUUGGUGUGAGUUCAUAAAAUGUUUCAUAUAUUUUCUGCUUCAACUCUCAGCUGAAUUGGACAAAGCAAAAUGAAAAUUUUCAUGAGCAAAUCCAUUUUUUUGAGGUGAAACACAGGGUUUCCAGCUCAGCUCUCCUGCUUUUGUGUGCAGAUUUCCUGUCAUCCAUCGAAAAAGAUAGAUAACUUCAUUUGUUUGUGUGACAUACCAGCUGCCCUGCUCCCUACUCUGUAAAAGCACUAUGAGCGUCCCCCGAGGAUCCAAACUGCUUAUUACUCCCAGAACAACUGUGCAUCCAGGCAGCAGCUCACUGGAGGAGGAUGGAGAGCGAGAAAUGGAGGAUGGGAAAGAGGUGAAAACAAAAGUGGGAUAAAAGGCAACGGGAGACCGGAGCUUCAUUGACAGUUGCUUUGAAUAAAUCAUUGUGUUUGUUGUAAUGCAGUUUUGUGCAGCAAUUUCUGCUACUUGAUGCAUGUCAAGCUGUAAAUAAAUGUAGUCAUCUGGUCUAGAGCAGCUUCUGUUGACAGGAUCAAUUUAUCAAACAGCCAGGCAGAUAUAACAGGUUCAUAUGUGACGUGGAGCCGAGAUGGAGCUCUUCUGACCUUCAAGGCCGUGCCGUCUGCUGAACCUGCUCCCUCUUAAAAGAACUGCUCCUUCACCUCGUAAAGGAUUCAGCUUUAAAAAUGCCAUGCUACAAAUACGGAGAGGGGGAUAAAGCCUGAAUUCUGACAGCAAUAAGAAGAGAUUUAGGUUCACUGCCAUGUGGCAGGGUACAUCACUGAGAAGCAGUGUGCAUUCAAACUCAUUUGAAGGUUUUUCUUUUAAUGAUUUUAAACUACACACCACCACGGUUUCCUAGCAAAUGUCAUUUCACUGUUUCAGUUGAAAAUACUUCAAGAGCUAUGUUGCCAGAUCCUUAAAUAUCAUAGAAAGUAUUAAUAUUGGUGAUCCAAUGUUAUGCUGACAGACUCGCAUAGAUUUUGUGAUUUAAAUAGAAGAAUAGAUUUGAUAACAAGAAGCCAUUUUCUCCAAAACAGAAAAGCUUGUUCUGGUUUGCCGAUAGUAACCCAAUUUGAAUGGACAAAUAGAGCUAAAAAACUCAAAUGAUUUACACCUUCAUCUGGUUUGGCUUCACACUUCACUGUUGAGAUAGGAUAAAACUGUCUCUGUCCACUGUCCCUGGAAAAAUUACACACUAACAACUGUUCAUGUGCACUGA